Molecule: long non-coding RNA, 195 nt
Organism: Mya arenaria
Lineage: Eukaryota; Metazoa; Mollusca; Bivalvia; Myida; Myidae
Exons: 3
Source: RefSeq, a predicted model, not a curated record
GUCUGUAACCGAAAAAAGCAGCCAAGAUAAUUAGAUUUGGAAGAAGGAAAAUACAUGUAGAUGAACAAAAGGUGUCUGGCAGUAACCUGCCUUUGCAUUGACAGCAAGGCCAUACACAGAUUAUCAGCUGUCUGAAAGUUACCUGCUCUUGUGUUGACAGCAAGGUGAUACACAGCCUAUCAGCCAUCAUGGCCA